UAUUGGUCAAUGGGCGGGAGCCUGAACCAGCCAAGUCGCGUGAGGGGGUAAGGCCCUACGGGUCGUAAACCUCUUUUGCCGGGGAGCAGGGCGGCGGACGUGUCCGCCGUCUGAGAGUACCCGGAGAAAAGUCAUCGGCCAACUCCGUGCCAGCGGCCGCGGUAAUACGGAGGAUGCGAGCGUUAUCCGGAUUUAUUGGGUUUAAAGGGUGCGUAGGCGGGCGUUUAAGUCAGCGGUAAAAAUUCGGGGCUCAACCCCGUCCGGCCGUUGAAACUGGGGGCCUUGAGUCGGCGAGAAGAAGGCGGAAUGCGUGGUGUAGCGGUGAAAUGCAUAGAUAUCACGCAGAACCCCGAUUGCGAAGGCAGCCUUCCGGCGCCCUACUGACGCUGAGGCACGAAAGUGCGGGGAUCGAACAGG
This 417-nucleotide ribosomal RNA is filed under the name uncultured bacterium. RNAcentral's name for it is "bacterial SSU rRNA". It matches the Rfam family "Bacterial small subunit ribosomal RNA", at positions 362 to 776 of the family's 1533-position model. The record is from RNAcentral.